AUACUUACCUGGCGCCGGGAUAACCGUGAUCCGGAGGGCGGUUUCCCCAGGGUGAGGCUUGACCAUUGCACUUGGGUUUAGCUGACUCCUGCCACUACCCCAAACUGGGGCAGAUGGGGCGUGUAAUUUGUGAUAGCUGGGGACUGCGUUCGCGCUCUCCCCUU
This 164-nucleotide small nuclear RNA is filed under the name Centruroides sculpturatus (bark scorpion). RNAcentral's name for it is "U1 spliceosomal RNA". It matches the Rfam family "U1 spliceosomal RNA". Rfam says of the family: U1 is a small nuclear RNA (snRNA) component of the spliceosome (involved in pre-mRNA splicing). Its 5' end forms complementary base pairs with the 5' splice junction, thus defining the 5' donor site of an intron. There are significant differences in sequence and secondary structure between metazoan and yeast U1 snRNAs, the latter being much longer (568 nucleotides as compared to 164 nucleotides in human). The record is from RNAcentral. Lineage: Eukaryota; Metazoa; Arthropoda; Arachnida; Scorpiones; Buthidae.